This 492-nucleotide ribosomal RNA is filed under the name uncultured bacterium. Its description in RNAcentral is "partial 16S ribosomal RNA". It matches the Rfam family "Bacterial small subunit ribosomal RNA", at positions 29 to 507 of the family's 1533-position model. The record is from RNAcentral.
AGUGAACGCUGGCGGUAGGCCUAACACAUGCAAGUCGAACGGCAGCACAGUAAGAGCUUGCUCUUACGGGUGGCGGGUGGCGGACGGGUGAGGAAUACAUCGGAAUCUACUUUUUCGGGGGGGAUAACGUAAGGAAACUUACGCUAAUACCGCAUACUACCUACGGCUGAAAGCAGGGGAUCUUGAGACCUUUCGCGUUUGAUUUAGCCGAUGUCGGAUUAGCUAGUUGGCUGGGUAAAGGCACACCAAGGCGACGAUCCGUAGCUGGUCUGAGAGGAUGAUCAGCCACACUGGAACUGAGACACGGUCCAGACUCCUACGGGAGGCAGCAGUGGGGAAUAUUCGGCAAUGGGCGAAAGCCUGACGGAGCAACGCCGCGUGGGUGAUGAAGGUCUUCGGAUUGUAAAGCUCUGUUGUUGGGGAAGAAAAGCAGUAUGUGUAACCCUGGAUGUUCUGACGGUACCUAAAGAAAAAGCCACGGCUAACUUCGUG